This 357-nucleotide ribosomal RNA is filed under the name uncultured bacterium. RNAcentral's name for it is "bacterial SSU rRNA". It matches the Rfam family "Bacterial small subunit ribosomal RNA", at positions 29 to 402 of the family's 1533-position model. The record is from RNAcentral.
AAUGAACGCUGGCGGCGUGGUUUAGGCAUGCAAGUCGCACGGGCAGUAGCAAUAUUGCUAGUGGCGACCUGGUCAGUACAAGUUGGGUUACGUGCCUGGAAGUGGGGGAUAACUCCGAGAAAUCGGGGCUAAUACCGCAUGUGGAGGAAACUCCAAAGCAGCAAUGCGCUUCCGGAUCGGCCCGACUCCCAUUAGCUAGUUGGCGAGGUAAAGGCUCACCAAGGCUACGAUGGGUAGGUGGUGUGAGAGCAUGGACGCCGACACGAGGACUGAGAUACGGCCUCGACUCCUACGGGGGGGCAGCAGUCUAGAAGCUUCGAACAAGUGGGACGAAAGCCUGAUCGAGCGACGCCGCGU